CCAGCUCGGAACUCAGAUGGGGCACACACUCAGGGGACCCUUCCCGGCGGUAAUAAAACUGCCGUUUCCGCGAAUGCUUACAAAGAUGGGUUCCCCUCACGAAAAAAGUCACUCGGUUUUCCUAAAGGCCCACAGAAGGAGUAUUUUCUUCUCAAUGUUUGCUUCCCGAGUGUUUUUCGACAGGCUGUGGAGCGCGCAGGUGCCGGUGUCACCUAAGCUAUGGUCGUGGGACCUAGAGAGCCAUCUAGAGAGGGGCCUGGUUUUGCUCAGCACCUAACCCCAGUUUAGCAUAGUGCCUGUGAAUCUGAUGUCAGCAAAUCACAGAAGAAAAGAGAUGCUGCUGACAAACCAAGAGGAUUUGCCACAGGUCUUGAUCCUGAAAGAGUAAUUGGUGCCACAGAUGGCAGCGGAAAAUGGAUGUUU
Homo sapiens (human) is the source of this 423-nucleotide long non-coding RNA. The record is from Ensembl. NCBI's taxonomy places the organism in Eukaryota, Metazoa, Chordata, Mammalia, Primates, Hominidae.